AGGACGAACGCUGGCGGCGUGCUUCAUACAUGCAAGUCGAACGAGAAAUCUACUUCGGUAGAUGGAAAGUGGCGGACGGGUGAGUAAUAUGUAGAGAAUCUGCCCUAGAGAGGGGGACGAACCGUUGGAAACGACAGCUAAUACCCCAUAUGAGCGUACCUGAAAUGGUAUUCUUGAAAACUCCGGUGCUCUGGGAUGAGUCUGCAUCUGAUUAGCUAGUUGGGGUGUAAUGGACCACCAAGGCGACGAUCAGUAGCUGGUUUGAGAGGAUGAUCAGCCACAAUGGGACUGAGACACGGCCCAUACUCCUACGGGAGGCAGCAGUAGGGAAUUUUGCGCAAUGGGCGAAAGCCUGACGCAAGCAACGCCGCGUGAUCGAGACGCUUUUCGGAGUGUAAAGAUCUGUCACAGGGGACGAACGAUGACGGUACCCUGAGAGGAAGCACCGGCUAACUCCGUGCCAGCCGCCGC
RNAcentral lists this ribosomal RNA (471 nucleotides) under uncultured bacterium. RNAcentral describes it as "bacterial SSU rRNA". It matches the Rfam family "Bacterial small subunit ribosomal RNA", at positions 26 to 518 of the family's 1533-position model. The record is from RNAcentral.